AUACGUAUCCAGCAGGGAAAUACCACGAUAAAGAUGGUGGUUUCCCCAGGACUGGGCUCUUCAGUUGCACACUUUGAUUGGAAUAACCCCUGUAAUUUUCCUAAAGGUGGUAAACUCAACCACAUAAUUUUUAGUACCGUUGUUUAGCAUUUUGCUUGGUUGUU
Small nuclear RNA from Protopterus annectens (West African lungfish), 164 nucleotides. RefSeq annotates it as U1 spliceosomal RNA. The record is from RefSeq and is a predicted model, not a curated record. Lineage: Eukaryota; Metazoa; Chordata; Ceratodontiformes; Protopteridae. The transcript has a single exon.